UACGGAGGAUGCAAGCGUUAUCCGGAUUCACUGGGUUUAAAGGGUGUGUAGGCGGAGCGAUAAGUCAGUGGUAAAAGCCGUCCGCUUAACGGACGAACGUCCAUUGAUACUGUCGUUCUUGAGUGCAAUUGAAGUGGGCGGAAUGUGGCAUGUAGCGGUGAAAUGCUUAGAUAUGCCGCAGAACACCUAUUGCGAAAGCAGCUCACUAAACUGUCACUGACGCUGAAACACGAAAGCGUGGGGAGCAAACAGG
Molecule: ribosomal RNA, 253 nt
Filed under: uncultured bacterium
Lineage: Bacteria
Description: partial 16S ribosomal RNA
Rfam family: Bacterial small subunit ribosomal RNA
Source: RNAcentral